Molecule: long non-coding RNA, 1558 nt
Filed under: Brassica napus (rape)
Lineage: Eukaryota; Viridiplantae; Streptophyta; Magnoliopsida; Brassicales; Brassicaceae
Description: long non-coding RNA (BNAP_LNC025161)
Source: RNAcentral
GUCGCCACCGCCGUCGCCACCACCACCACCAUCAUCAUCAUCAAAGACACAGAGAAGAGACGUUUGCUCAACAAGAGUGCUGCAAGUGGCUGAAGCAAAUGGACAACGAGUGCGUGUGCGACCUUCUGGUUAGGCUUCCGCCAUUGCUAGCAAAACCUGCGCAUAACUAUACAGUGUUUGUGGAUGAGUCGUGCAUCGUCACUUACACCUGUGGAGGCAGACUUAUGAGCUGAUCCUCUUUCCUUUCUAAACUACUUGUCCCAUAGCUUGUUCUUCUUCAAAGACCCUUUUGUUUAUCUGUCUUUUCUUAGCAGUUUAUUAUUUCACGCCCUUCAGUAUAAUUGUUGUACUUGUACGUUUUACACACCACCAGCAAAAAGUCAACCAAACCAAGCAAACAAAAAAUAGUAAGAUGGAUUAUAAUUUGCCUGAGCUUUGCUUCUUCCGUUGGAUAUGGGGCCUAGGUUCAUAGGGCAGUGACAUUAUUGUAAGCCAGCUAGUAGAUUGCAAUUUUCUAAAUUUGUUUCAGGCCCGUGGAUUGUAUUUACAUCUAUGAAUAAAUCUAAACUGAUUAAUUUGCUUUGAAAAUUGUAUACUGACUCAUUUCACAUUAGACUAAUAAAAGAGGAGUCUUCAAUAGAGCCUGAGACCAACAAUGCUCAUAACUUUCUACUACAAUAAAUGUGAAAGAGUUGUCAUCCCAUCAAUUUUGCAAAAGAAUGAUCAGUACCGAACAUAUACAAAACCCUAUCUUACAUUUGCGUCACUCAUGAAUGAGUUCCUGAUCUGCGUGCUAUGGUUUGAGAGCAGACUGACUCUGUUGUGCUCUUCCGCCAAGUCUCUUUGUCGGCUUGGCAUGCUUCUUUUAAAAUUUUUAGCUCUAUUUAUUAUAUACAACAACAACAACAAAAAAAUGAUUUUGGAGGCAUAUCAAUAUUUGCUCAAGCAUUCUUCGUUGCGGCUGCCAUAGUUAUUCCGCAAUUAUGUGAGGGUUCUCUGCUACACUCACUAAUCACUAUUUGCGUCCUCAACUUUCAUGUUUACUGACACUGGGACGUCUAUGAGGUGAGGUAAGGAAACAAUAUUAAACAAGUAGCAUAGGAUUGAGAUCAACAUGGUGGAAUAGAGUGAUCGAUAUAUUUUGAAAAGGGCUCAACAUAGUCACGAAGACAAAAAAAAAAAGUGUCUAACAUAGGAGUGUAUUACAAAUCAUAAGUUGUCCACCGUCGCCACCGCCGUCGCCACCACCACCACCAUCAUCAUCAUCAAAGACACAGAGAAGAGACGUUUGCUCAACAAGAGUGCUGCAAGUGGCUGAAGCAAAUGGACAACGAGUGCGUGUGCGACCUUCUGGUUAGGCUUCCGCCAUUGCUAGCAAAACCUGCGCAUAACUAUACAGUGUUUGUGGAUGAGUCGUGCAUCGUCACUUACACCUGUGGAGGCAGACUUAUGAGCUGAUCCUCUUUCCUUUCUAAACUACUUGUCCCAUAGCUUGUUCUUCUUCAAAGACCCUUUUGUUUAUCUGUCUUUUCUUAGCAGUUUAUUAUUUCACGCCCUU